GAACGCUGGCGGCGUGCUUAACACAUGCAAGUCGAACGCUGAAGCUUGGUGCUUGCACUGGGUGGAUGAGUGGCGAACGGGUGAGUAAUACGUGAGUAACCUGCCCUUGACUCUGGGAUAAGCCUGGGAAACUGGGUCUAAUACUGGAUACGACAUGUCACCGCAUGGUGGUGUGUGGAAAGGGUUUUACUGGUUUUGGAUGGGCUCACGGCCUAUCAGCUUGUUGGUGGGGUAAUGGCUCACCAAGGCGACGACGGGUAGCCGGCCUGAGAGGGUGACCGGCCACACUGGGACUGAGACACGGCCCAGACUCCUACGGGAGGCAGCAGUGGGGAAUAUUGCACAAUGGGCGGAAGCCUGAUGCAGCGACGCCGCGUGAGGGAUGACGGCCUUCGGGUUGUAAACCUCUUUCAGCACGGAAGAAGCGAAAGUGACGGUACGUGCAGAAGAAGCGCCGGCUAACUACGUGCCAGCAGCCGCGGUAAUACGUAGGGCGCAAGCGUUGUCCGGAAUUAUUGGGCGUAAAGAGC
RNAcentral lists this ribosomal RNA (530 nucleotides) under Kocuria rhizophila. RNAcentral's name for it is "bacterial SSU rRNA". It matches the Rfam family "Bacterial small subunit ribosomal RNA", at positions 31 to 568 of the family's 1533-position model. Lineage: Bacteria; Bacillati; Actinomycetota; Actinomycetes; Micrococcales; Micrococcaceae. The record is from RNAcentral.